UCCAAAGCUAUAGGCAAUUGGAAAGUGCUU
This 30-nucleotide non-coding RNA is filed under the name Mus musculus (house mouse). The record is from RNAcentral. Lineage: Eukaryota; Metazoa; Chordata; Mammalia; Rodentia; Muridae.